Molecule: long non-coding RNA, 1261 nt
Filed under: Monodelphis domestica (gray short-tailed opossum)
Lineage: Eukaryota; Metazoa; Chordata; Mammalia; Didelphimorphia; Didelphidae
Description: lncRNA (ENSMODG00000049708.1)
Source: RNAcentral
CUUCUUAGGGGGGCAGCUGGGUAUCUCAGUGGAUUGAGAGCCAGUCCUAGAGACUGGAGGUCCUGGGUUCAAAUUUGUCCUCAGACACUUCCUAGCUGUGUGAGCCAAUAUACAGUAUUGACUCCAAGACAGAAGGUAAGAGUUUAAAAAAAAAAGAAUAUGCCUCAUUGAAUGAAAUCUAAUGAUCUCUCCUUCCUCUCCAUUCAGAACAUUUUCUACUAAUACCACUAAUCAUGGACAUGUGACUUCAUCACAACUCUGGCAUUACCAAAGCGAAUGGAAGGGCACCAAGGUUGACUUCACCCCAUCUGUGAUUUUGCCAAGAACCUCUGCACACACAGGCAAGAUUCUCCAAGGUUUCCUCUUUGCACGGGUUACCAUGGAUUUCCUAAAUAAGUUGCUCUUCAAAUCAGGUGAUCUAAGCAAGGAUUGAAAAUGAAUAUCACACAGAAGGUAAUGGAGAGGAUCACGGUGAUGUGAGCAGAAUAUAACAUAACGCCUGUAAAGAAGAACAGGGGUAAAAGAUGUCAUCAAGGAAAUAUAUAAUAGGAAGAGAAGAUGAACUAAUCAUACAGACGCCCAAGUGCUCCAUACUCUCUUUGAUGUCAAUAAGAUAAGAAAGGCAUCUGAUGCACAGGGUAGAAUUUCUGUGGUGAAUUUAGGGGAGGAAACGGUCUAGUUGCUUAGCAUGGGCAGGCAUGGAAAGGCUGCAAUUUAUAACACUGGAGGGUAUAUUCAACUUGAUGAGAUCACUUUUGAGUAUUUGAGUGAGUUGUUAAGGAGAUUGGGCAAUGAUGGUCUUUAGCCCACAUCAGAAAGAUGGAAUCAGUCAUGGUUUUUUAAAAUAAGAAGUUGCUCACAGGCCUCCUGAGUCCAUAAUUAAAUCCACAAGCCUUGGACUGAGGUGGCUCAGAAUUAGGAUAGAUCCUCUAUGUCAUAGGAAGGUUAGUGUCCUACUCAAGUGAGUUUAAUUGCUUUUUUUUAGCUGAGGUCAUCCGCAAGGAUGCCUCAAGUUGAUAGGAAAAUUGAAAGUUUCAUACCUGAAUGUUUCCAGAUCUAGAAGAUUCUAGAUAUUCCAGAAAAUAAGCACAGGAUGUACAAGAUUAAGGGGAAGCUGGGGAAAGUGUAUGACCAGGGUAUAGAUAGCCUCCUGACACAAAAUCCUUAUAAUUUUCUUCUAUCUAAUACCUCACUUUCUUAUUGCUGUCCUUAGUGCCCUCAGAUUGCCCUGUGGUUGUCUAGGUCCAGGAGAGACCUUUGG